CCCCUAGAUGUUCUGGGCCGCACGCGCGCUACACUGAACAGUUCAACAAGUCUUAACCUUGGCCGAUAGGUCUGGGUAAUCUUUGAACGCUGUUCGUGACUGGGAUAGACCUUUGCAAUUAUGGGUCUUCAACGAGGAAUUCCUAGUAAACGCAAGUCAUCAGCUUGCAUUGAUUACGUCCCUGCCCUUUGUACACACCGCCCGUCGCACCUACCGAUUGAAUGGUCCGGUGAUAUCUCGGGACGGCGGCUUGGUCGCUUGCGUCCGACUGCUGAAACUUGAUUAAACCAUAUCAUUUAGAGGAAGGUGAAGUCGUAACA
RNAcentral lists this ribosomal RNA (320 nucleotides) under uncultured eukaryote. RNAcentral's name for it is "partial 18S ribosomal RNA". It matches the Rfam family "Eukaryotic small subunit ribosomal RNA", at positions 1470 to 1796 of the family's 1831-position model. The record is from RNAcentral.